UACGGAGGGUGCAAGCGUUGUUCGGAAUCAUUGGGCGUAAAGCGCGUGUAGGCGGCCUACUAAGUCUGAUGUGAAAGCCCGGGGCUCAACCCCGGAAGUGCAUUGGAUACUGGUUGGCUAGAGGGCGAGAGAGGGAAGUGGAAUUCCGGUGUAGGGGUGAAAUCCGUAGAUAUCAGGAGGAACAUCAGUGGCGAAGGCGGCUUCCUGGCUCGCUUCUGACGCUGAGACGCGAAAGCAUGGGUAGCAAACAGG
RNAcentral lists this ribosomal RNA (252 nucleotides) under uncultured bacterium. Its description in RNAcentral is "partial 16S ribosomal RNA". It matches the Rfam family "Bacterial small subunit ribosomal RNA", at positions 524 to 776 of the family's 1533-position model. The record is from RNAcentral.